UUAAUAUCAGCAGCAGUGUUUGCAACAUUAA
This 31-nucleotide small RNA is filed under the name Angomonas deanei. RNAcentral's name for it is "IRE_II". It matches the Rfam family "Iron response element II". From Rfam's summary of the family: IRE, TFRC, SLC40A1, SDHB, SLC11A2, CDC42BPA, ACO2, ALAS2_H.SAPIENS, CDC14A, EPAS1, ALAS2, qoxD, Hao1, NDUFS1, transferrin, Aconitate. The record is from RNAcentral. Lineage: Eukaryota; Euglenozoa; Kinetoplastea; Trypanosomatida; Trypanosomatidae.